UACGAAGGGGGCUAGCGUUGCUCGGAAUUACUGGGCGUAAAGGGCGCGUAGGCGGAUAGUUCAGUUGGGGGUGAAAGCCCGGGGCUCAACCUCGGAACUGCCUUCAAUACUGGCUAUCUUGAGUACGGGAGAGGUGUGUGGAACUCCGAGUGUAGAGGUGAAAUUCGUAGAUAUUGGGAAGAACACCGGUGGCGAAGGCGGCUCACUGGCUCGUAACUGACGCUGAGGCGCGAAAGCGUGGGGAGCGAACAGG
Molecule: ribosomal RNA, 253 nt
Filed under: uncultured bacterium
Lineage: Bacteria
Description: partial 16S ribosomal RNA
Rfam family: Bacterial small subunit ribosomal RNA
Source: RNAcentral